Molecule: transfer RNA, 75 nt
Filed under: Deinococcota bacterium
Lineage: Bacteria; Thermotogati; Deinococcota
Also listed under: 1 other name
Description: Deinococcus-Thermus bacterium tRNA-Lys
Rfam family: tRNA
About the family: Transfer RNA (tRNA) molecules are approximately 80 nucleotides in length.
Source: RNAcentral
GGACCGCUAGCUCAGUGGUAGAGCAACCGACUUUUAAUCGGUUGGUCACAGGUUCGAAUCCUGUGCGGUCCACCA